RNAcentral lists this ribosomal RNA (634 nucleotides) under Staphylococcus aureus. RNAcentral's name for it is "partial 23S ribosomal RNA". It matches the Rfam family "Bacterial large subunit ribosomal RNA", at positions 12 to 642 of the family's 2925-position model. Lineage: Bacteria; Bacillati; Bacillota; Bacilli; Caryophanales; Staphylococcaceae. The record is from RNAcentral.
UAAGGGCGCACGGUGGAUGCCUUGGCACUAGAAGCCGAUGAAGGACGUUACUAACGACGAUAUGCUUUGGGGAGCUGUAAGUAAGCUUUGAUCCAGAGAUUUCCGAAUGGGGAAACCCAGCAUGAGUUAUGUCAUGUUAUCGAUAUGUGAAUACAUAGCAUAUCAGAAGGCACACCCGGAGAACUGAAACAUCUUAGUACCCGGAGGAAGAGAAAGAAAAUUCGAUUCCCUUAGUAGCGGCGAGCGAAACGGGAAGAGCCCAAACCAACAAGCUUGCUUGUUGGGGUUGUAGGACACUCUAUACGGAGUUACAAAGGACGACAUUAGACGAAUCAUCUGGAAAGAUGAAUCAAAGAAGGUAAUAAUCCUGUAGUCGAAAAUGUUGUCUCUCUUGAGUGGAUCCUGAGUACGACGGAGCACGUGAAAUUCCGUCGGAAUCUGGGAGGACCAUCUCCUAAGGCUAAAUACUCUCUAGUGACCGAUAGUGAACCAGUACCGUGAGGGAAAGGUGAAAAGCACCCCGGAAGGGGAGUGAAAUAGAACCUGAAACCGUGUGCUUACAAGUAGUCAGAGCCCGUUAAUGGGUGAUGGCGUGCCUUUUGUAGAAUGAACCGGCGAGUUACGAUUUGAUGCA